CACAGAGGAGCCCAUGACGGAGGAAGCAGGGAUGACGGUACUAACCCUUUAACCCUUUAAAGAAGAACCGCUUCAGUCUUCUACCAAAGCACGCUAAAUGGCUCUGUAAGCGUCUUACUAGGAAUCAGUUGAUACUUUCUAAAAAGUUUUUUUUUUUAAGUUUUUUUUUCUUUUAAAAAGUUUCCAAAAUCCUCUUCAUGAUGGAUGCUUUAAGGGUACAGCUGUCAAUUCUAUAAAUGGUUAAGUUACUACUCAUCGCCAAACAGAAUUCUGUUCUCAAUCUAUCUUACCAGAUCCACUGAGUCAGCUGCUUAAAAAUUUUCUUGAUAAUGUCAACUUACGACAAGCCUGUUUAAACACGGAGCUGAGUUCAUCACCACAAUAAAUGUAAGUUCACACUGACAAAUUUUUCCUUCUUCACCUGACCAGAGAAACCCGAGUCUGCUGACGGCAGAGGUUAACAGUGCUUCUGUUAAGGUCCUCCGGUCUAGAGUUGGUUUUCUCGAGUGGUCGGUGGACAGGAGUAUUCUCCCAAAGUAAAUGUUACAGCCUCAGGCACUAGGCCAGGAACGGCAGCCUUGACGUGUGAAGGAAGAGCAGCGAAGGAAGAAAAGCAGCCAGAACAAGAACGCAGACUCUAAAACCCCCCAGUCAUCGAGCACUGAGUCUGGGGUGAGACUCCAACUGAAAUGCUGUUUCUUCUAUCUGCUUCAGCAGGUAUUUGCCCAAUAAGGACGUGCCCACUUUCCUUCCCCCUAUGAGGAACCUGGGCCUAAAAGAAGUUCAGUGAUAUGACAGUGUAAGUGGCUGAUGCUAAAUUCACACUGGAAAGCAGGAUCGCCGCUAGCAAAUCCACCAACACCUUGAUCAGAACAUCUGCGAAGGCUUGGAAUGGAAUGCAAACUGUGUAUGCAUCAGCAUUUUCCAGGUAGAGAUGGUCAAAGGUUUUCAUCUGAUUUUUUCAAAGGAGCUUUGUGAUACAAAAAUUCUUAAGGGCCUCGCAAGGAAAACACCUGGAUUUUUGCAUCAGACAAACCUAAUUUCCAAAAGAGUUCUUCUAUUUUCUAGUAACGAUACUUCUCUUCUCUAGGUGUCAAAAUUACCUCCCAAAAUCACUGUAAACAAGAUAAUGCAUGCAAAGCACCUAACACUGUUUUUUUUUUUUUUUUCUAACACUGUUUUUAAAACCCCCUUACGAGAACUCCAUGUGGCAGAGACUACGGGUUGUGCUCAAGCAGCCGCUGAGAGACUGGAUAUACAGACAGACAACGGACAGAGCACAUACAAAAACAGACCUUUGAACCACAAUCCGCAGCAACCUGGUCAGGAAGCCAACCUUUCCACUCUAGCAAGCAGCCCGAGAAGCCAGCCUGCUCCGUCCGACUCGCAGGAGGUCACACUGCUCUCUCUAGUGACAAUCCAGGAAGCUAAACAAUAACUUCUGUUAACAAUUAGCCCCAGACGGCCAGGAUGCAGUAACUGACAGCUUCCUCCAUUUCUGUCCCUGCUUCCAACUUAGGACUGACCAGAGGAAGCCAACUAGACACAUGCAAGCCAGUCACCUGAUACCUGGCUGCAGCAGGCUCAGUGGCGGCCCCAGCAUGCCACGGCCACCCAUCAGGGCACACCCGAGCCCCCCUCCUUAUCCACCGUGAAGACCCCCUCCUCUUGACCGGGAACCUUGCCCACACGCUGGUGAUGGAGUGGGUCCUUUGCUGGAGCAGGCUCAGAGCUCACAGCCCUGACUCUUCUCAUUCUGUUGGUCUUGGCUGAUUUCUGCACCAUUCGGCUCGGCUUGCAGAGUAAGAGAAGGUUAGCUCGCAAAUGAAGAGCACGCAGGCCAGCCUCCCUGCACCUACACGUGUUCCUAAGACGACAUUCUGGCCAACGGCGUGAAGCGGAAAACACUGUGUGGCAGCAAGCACCUGGUGACGUGUCCGCAAACACAGCCGUCAGGGGCCUGUCUCCCCUCACAUCUCAGCCCGAAACCUGAGGUCACAACUGCCAUGUCAGUGCCGGCAUCGUACACAACAGAGAAAGACACACAACAACACAGAAUACAGCAACGGCCUCCUUUGACACAGUGUUCCUAUGGGGGGCACUCUUCUGAGUUCUGCGUCUGUUUCAGGGGAAUGCAGUGCACGGAAGUGAAGUUGGGCCAAGGCCAGCGAUGACCAGUUCUUAGGCUACUGUCAUCAGGCAGUUUCUGUAACUUGUAGCUGAACUUAAAUCCCGUGGUUCAAACGGUAAAGAAUCUGCCUGCAAGGCAGGAAACCCAGGUUCAAUCCCUGGGUUGGGAAG
Cervus elaphus (red deer) is the source of this 2301-nucleotide long non-coding RNA. RefSeq lists it as uncharacterized. NCBI's taxonomy places the organism in Eukaryota, Metazoa, Chordata, Mammalia, Artiodactyla, Cervidae. The transcript has 3 exons. The record is from RefSeq and is a predicted model, not a curated record.